Small nucleolar RNA from Capsicum annuum, 107 nucleotides. The record is from RefSeq and is a predicted model, not a curated record. NCBI's taxonomy places the organism in Eukaryota, Viridiplantae, Streptophyta, Magnoliopsida, Solanales, Solanaceae.
UGCUAAUGAUGUGGAUACUCCUAAAGAAGAGCUUUGAACCUCUCCCAUGCAUAGAAUAAGUUCUUAUUUGUCUUUUGUUUGAAACACACAAUCUCACUGCGUAGUCU